This 20-nucleotide unclassified non-coding RNA is filed under the name Mus musculus (house mouse). RNAcentral's name for it is "oocyte_clustered_small_RNA13910". The record is from RNAcentral. Lineage: Eukaryota; Metazoa; Chordata; Mammalia; Rodentia; Muridae.
UGAUCCUGCGGGAGGCGUCA